RNAcentral lists this unclassified non-coding RNA (441 nucleotides) under Hevea brasiliensis (rubber tree). Lineage: Eukaryota; Viridiplantae; Streptophyta; Magnoliopsida; Malpighiales; Euphorbiaceae. The record is from RNAcentral.
UCGCCAUGUUCUGUUCACAGAGGCAAAAAUGAAAUAAGGGGAAAGCAUAUGUGAUGGAUCAUCGUUGUUAUCUACUUUAUUUUGGCUCAAUAUACUGCUGCUGUGGACAAGUUUCAAAUUAAGUAGAGCUGAAUAAGUAUUUGUUCAUGUGUUUGUGUUAUUUGUCUUCCCCUCAUCCCCCUCCUAGUUUUUGAGUCAUGCGUGUCUCAAUAGAUGGCCUAAUCUAGUUUACAAAUUCACCUUUGUUUCACUUGUUAUACUCAUUGAAUGAUUCUUGUGAAUGGGAUUUUAUUGUGCAUUUGAUAAUGAGCAUGUAGAUUUGCAUUUUAUCACUUGGAGGAUCCCAUGUGUUACAGUUAUGGAUCCAUGCAUCCAGCUUUCUGGUGCUCUUGUUCAAAUUCCUGCUCUAUUCCCUUUGAAAGGGCUGACCCCCAAAUGAGG